CCUACGGGAGGCAGCAGUGGGGAAUUUUGGACAAUGGGCGCAAGCCUGAUCCAGCCAUGCCGCGUGUGGGAAGAAGGCCUUCGGGUUGUAAACCACUUUUGUCAGGGAAGAAACGGCUUUUUCUAAUACAGAGAGCUAAUGACGGUACCUGAAGAAUAAGCACCGGCUAACUACGUGCCAGCAGCCGCGGUAAUACGUAGGGUGCAAGCGUUAAUCGGAAUUACUGGGCGUAAAGCGUGCGCAGGCGGCUUUGCAAGACAGAUGUGAAAUCCCCGGGCUCAACCUGGGAACUGCAUUUGUGACUGCAUGGCUAGAGUACGGUAGAGGGGGAUGGAAUUCCGCGUGUAGCAGUGAAAUGCGUAGAUAUGCGGAGGAACACCGAUGGCGAAGGCAAUCCCCUGGACCUGUACUGACGCUCAUGCACGAAAGCGUGGGGAGCAAACAGGAUUAGAUACCCUGGUAGUCCACGCCCUAAACGAUGUCAACUGGUUGUUGGACGGCUUGCUGUUCAGUAACGAAGCUAAACGCGUGAAGUUGACCGCCGUGGGUAGGUACGGUUCCGGCGAAGGUUAGGUUAAACGUAACGAAGUUAGAGUUAGACGGACGUUGAGACGNGCCGACGGACGACGACGAGGGAGGAGGAG
RNAcentral lists this ribosomal RNA (644 nucleotides) under uncultured bacterium. RNAcentral describes it as "bacterial SSU rRNA". The stretch from base 1 to 543 matches the Rfam family "Bacterial small subunit ribosomal RNA", at positions 338 to 873 of the family's 1533-position model. The record is from RNAcentral.